RNAcentral lists this long non-coding RNA (26699 nucleotides) under Triticum aestivum (bread wheat). Its description in RNAcentral is "long non-coding RNA (TAES_LNC015600)". The record is from RNAcentral. Lineage: Eukaryota; Viridiplantae; Streptophyta; Magnoliopsida; Poales; Poaceae.
CCGGUGGCAUCACUAUCAAGAAGACGGGCAUGGCCCUGAUUCUCGGUAUCUACGAUGAGCCCAUGACUCCUGGCCAGUGCAAUUUGGUCGUGGAGAGGCUUGGCGACUACCUGGUCGAGCAGGGUUUCUAAGCCCGCCCUGAUAUGCUGUUAUUUUGGUCGUCUGGGACUAAGUUUGCUCUACUGUGGGCUUUGCAUCCAUCUGCUUGGCGUACCGCAUGAUAUAUGCAGUGAAUAAUUUUAGCUUGGGGUUUGUCGGUUGAUGAUGUGUCGAAGGGAAAAAAUGGAUUUACUAUGUUUUUCUUUUUAAUGUUUGGCAUCGCGUCGUAUCAAACUCAGCCGCUCUUUCGCUGAGUAAUGUACAUUUGCCUGGUCGUGGUAACUUGUGGGUUCUGCUGCUGCUUUAUUGAAGAUGAUUGCAAUUUUACUGACGUGCUUGCCUGGUCAUGGUACUUUGUCAUUGCAUUACUGUUGUCUGUGGGCUAGCGUUAGAUGGUUGAUGCUAAUAAUUGGUGCAAAAUUCAAUCACCACCCCGCCACGUAACAUUACAAUUCCAUUUGUCAACUCGUAAAUUGCGCAUCUAUGCAGCCAUGAUUCAACUAUUUGUUAACUCGUUUCAGUCCAUAUUUGUUCACUUAUUUCAGUUCAUGUUGAAAUAUCCAAACCAUCUUAUAAUUCAGGAUGGAGGUAGUACUUCUGAAUUUCUGAUACACUCACCUAUGUGAUAUGUUGCCCAUACCGUAGUAAUAGCUAGGGUUGAAAAUUUCCACAGCUAGUCGUUUUAAAAAAAUUACCGGAGCUACUCCCUCCAUUCACAAAUAUAAGAUGUUUUCAAUAUUUUAGACCAUAUAUGGAUUGAAAUGAGUGAAUAAAUACACUAAAAUGCGUAUAUAUACAACAGAAUCAGAAAAAAGGUUGGAACAUCCAAUGUUUUAAGGCGGUAAGGCGUGGCAAGGUGCCUCACCACCUAAAUGGUAAGGCAUAAGUCAAGGUGGAUGCCUUAGAGAGUUCUAAGCAACAGAAUGAAGUAGAAUUUGGUAGGCAACUAUGCGUAUACACUACACAUCUUGCACUUAGUGUUCAUAUAGCAUCCGUCCUCUCUUCUCCCCAACGGUAAUCAUGCAUUAUUCUAACCAUCCAGGCUGAAAAGCAGCAAGCAAUGAACAACUAAACAUGGAAUAAGCAGAGCAGAGGAGGGUGGGGGAGAAGGGGGAGGGAGAGGAGUAGAUGGGCUCCUUGUUGUUGCCUGUUGCUGGUUGUUGCUGUACUGAAGAGGAGGAUGAGGAGCCUGUUGCUGGUUGCUGCUGUACUGAAGAGGAGGAUGAGGAGCUGCUGAAGAGGAGGGGAGGAGGAGCUGCUGGAGAGGAGCUGCUGCAUAGGAGGGAGCAAAUCUGCUGGAGGAGAGGAGCCAGAGAAGGAGGAGAUGCGUGUGGGUUGGGGGCUGUUUCUCUCUCUCUUUCCCCCCUCUUACCUGUUGGUGCUAACAACAUCUCUAUUUCCCACCAAGAUUGUUUCCCGCCUAAAACUGCUUUCCUUCCUGGCUGGCAGGCUCAAGGCGUCCAACAUGGACUAGGGCACCUACCUGGAUGCCUUAGCACCGCUUCAGACGCCUUAAAGCUUAAGGCAGACGCCUUACUCAGGUACCUAAGGCAAGCUGGACCCCUUGAGCUUGCGGGGUGCCCUGACGCCUAUGCGUCGUCUAGGCGACACCUUAUGGACACUUUAAAAACAAUGAGAACAUCUUAUAAUAGUGAAUGAGGGAGUAGUUAUUUUCAUCAGGUCAGAGAUACAAGCGAAGUUUGUCGCAUUUUGCAAGUUGUACUAAACUGAAGGCACAUGGCAAGUUUAUGUACCGUCAGUGUAGUUACCUGAAAAGAUUGAUUAGUAUGGCCAAUUUUGCACACACAACCUUUUGUGUUUUGAAAGGUUCGUCACACUUCUGUUUUUAAAUUCUCACACUAUCAUACUACUCUGUCAUAAUACAGUGCAUAAUAGUUUUGUUUCAAGUCAAACUUUGUAAACAACUGCCAAAUCCUUAGAAUUUUUUAACUGAAAUAUCAAAUUAAUACCGUUAAAUUCAUUAUAAAGUACAUUAUCAGAUUGUACAUAUUUGCUAUUUAAAUGUUCGUAUAAUAUUUUUACAAACUUGGUCAAAAUUUACAACGUUUGACUUAGGAUAAAUUUAAAUGACUAUAUUUUGACAUAGAGGGCACAAUGUAUUUUUUAAGAGUACUUUGUGCGUACCAUAUUUUUAUAGAAGAGUAGAAAAUGUCUACAAUAGUCACUAGAAUAAUCACAGUCUGAUAGUAGGGCCACACCAUACCAGAAAUACAUGGGCACUGUAUGAAUUAUCGUAUUUUGUUGGAAAAUUCACAAGAUGUAUUGGACACCCAAUAGUGUUGUCCCUAUUAUUGGAUUAUCUAGCAGUAGAUGUAAUUAUCCUUUGGAUUUGCCGUGCAAAAUAAUAAUUUCUCUGGAGUUAGCCACUCUUGGAGACAUCCACUGGGUAACGAUGGAUGCAGCUAGCCCAGGGUCCAUCCAUACGUGAAGAUGGUUGUAUACACACCCAACCAACGGUGUUGCACUCGUACCCUGCACCGAAUCCGAUCAUCCACACCCUAUUGCCUUUCUUCAUCCGGCCUUUGGCCUCGAUGUAUGAUAACUCAUACCACACCGAUGAUGUCGAUUGGUUUCCAAAUCGAUGCAGCGUCAUCUUCGAUGGCUCAACAUGCUUGUCUGAUAGAUUAAGACCACGUUGUACCGAGGUGAUAACCGCCGGUCCGCCAACAUGGAUGCAGAAAUGCUCAAAUGCAACACAAAAGUUGGGGAUGUAUGGUCUAAUCUUCCACCAACGGAGCACCUUUUUCGCCACAUAGAAGAACAAAAACUUGAGAAGCUCUGAUGCGGGUAGGACAAGAGGCCCGGUUGUCAUGAUAUUUUCCUUGAGUGCGUUCCCAGCGACAUCCAUAAGGUCUUUAGAGAGAGCAAUCCCUAGGUUGCCCUUGUCAUCUUCCUCUUGAUAAACACAUCGGUAAGCAGCGUUGUUUGCCGCAGUGAUCGUCCGCGUGAAAUGUCCAAGACGAAACCGGGCCUUUGACUUAGAAGUCGAUAACAAUUUGGCAGCACCGCCUAUGCGGAACAAGACGUUAACCAACUGCAUAGAACGCUUAUUCCCCGCAUAGUAGAAUGGCCCAAUGGUCUCCGUCGACACCACCAACACAUGUGACCCCCAAGGCAUCACUUGCAACAUGUUGCUUGCGAGCCCCACUGCGGUCACUGAUGCAGAACACGCCAUCCCAGAGAGGUUAAUGACACGGAGAUCACCUCGUAACUUGUACCUGUUUACAAUCAUGUCAGCCAUAGAUGGUACCGGACUAAAUGUACUACAGUUGGUGAUAAGAGCACCAAUUGUGCCGUGGUUGAUGCACGUCUUGGCGAAAAGGUCAUCCAUCACAGAGAAGACCACCAACUCUGCUUCGGCACGUCCUUCGUCAAGCCCACAAUGUGGCUCUAUAUAGUGAUGUGCAUGCGGGACAUGUGUCUCAUCGCUCAUGCCCGAGCGCUCAAGAACAGUAGCUAUGAAGUUGACAGUAGAAUUAUCAAACAAAGGCGAGACAUGUGCAUGCUCCAGGAAGGCUGCCUUUGGGAUUCUUAAGUUGGAGCUCGGCCGGAAGCAAGCAUAGUCAACAAGGUAUACAGUUCUACGGCGGAGUGCAAGGUAGAUGGUAGCCGCGACGAUCGGUAGAACGACGGCAAGGAGUAGAUGGAUGGGAUAGAUGGCACUGAGUUGGGGCAUAGUCUCAAGUGAAGCAGGUAGCCAUGGUGCAACUCUCUUGAGGACGCCAGGUGCGAGUGUCAACGUGGUGACAAUUCGCAGGAGGAAGGUGCUGGCAGCGCGGUGGUAUAGAAAUACGAGGCUCUUGAGAUGAGACAGCAAACCCAUGGUGUUGGGUGGUUUGGUGUACGUGCAUGUAGAGGUGGCCGAUCGAGGAGGAUAUAUAGGAGGGAACAGCAAGGGCAUAUGCUAUACUUUGUAAUGUUGUACUACUUCAAAACAUUUGCAAAACUAAAACCUCCAACCGUGCAAGUGUCAACUGCCCGUGUCCAGCAUUUCUUUCCACUCAAAAUAUUUCUUAACAAAAACGUGGGAGAAAUACCUAACGUCAUAGGCUAAUAGGGAAUCUAGAUUAUUGCUCAAUAGUGCAUGAACGAUGAUAGUACGCUGUAGGAUGGCUCAUUAAUUGCGUGCCAGAUAAACCAUUUCACAGAAUAUUAUCAUGUGCACAUUUGUGUAGCCCAUGUUUUUCACAUCGCGCUGCAGGAACGCACUCUCAUUUCAGAUUUGACGUACGGAAAUAAUAUUCAAGAGGCAUAAUCUCUACUCUUAAUGGAGCAGUUGAUAGGAUUGGUAGCCUGGUAUGGUUUAUUCUCAUCCGGUUUAUGCUCAUCCGAUCCCAGGAGGCCGCUGCAGAUCAUGCACUUACAGGACACUCCUGUUUCUCGCCGUCGUCGCGGAACCCCAGGGAUGCCUCCGUCGCCGCCGAUCCGUGGGAGGCCGCCGCACAACACCACGCACGCAUUCGCCUCCGCCGAUCUCACGAAGGCCGCCGCGGAUCAGGUCCAAAUCUCGGUCUUGGCCUCCUCCUAUCCUCGCGCCGCCCCUCCUCUACCAUUGCAUGGGCAGCCCUCAAGCCACCUCGCUACCACCGCGGCCGGUGUCCUCCACCAUCGGAUGAGCAGCCCUGAAGCCGCCACGUUGCCGCUGCGGCCGAUUACAGUUAGAUCGGACUGCUGUGGAUGGCAGCGGUAUGCACUAUAGACCUUCCCCUCAUGUCGUCACGUUGCCACCAUCCUUGUUGCAAACGGCCGAGUCGAGGUAAGGAGCCUCACAACUGGUUUGUCCUAUUGCUUGCCUUUCAGAUUACAUCUUGUUUCUAUGUCUCCUCUCGCCGCUACGUCAGGUGACACUCAUCUUUGGUGAACAAAUUAGCAUCACCUGCGUGCUUGCUUGUGUUCGUUUCUAGUAGCCGGCAAGAAUCAAUCGAGUCUUCCUCUAUGUGUGCAACCUUGCCAUCAUGUGAUUGAAUCAAGGCAAGGGCAGCCAACAUUAAGGAUGUGCGAGUCUUGCCGGGAUCCGAUCUAUCAACUCAUUCAGCCAGCUAUAUAUGUUGUGUACAUUGUACAUGCAGAAACCACCAGCUGAGUCAAGGCUCCACCGGCCCUGUGCCAACAACUCAAUUAUGGAAGCAGAAGAACGGAUUAUGUGAAUUGAAUAUGUUUUCCCAUGUCUUGGUGGUAUCCAAGAGUGCAUGUCAUUCGUGUUUUUGAAACCAUCUUCCAUCACUUCUGAUAUUUUUGUUUUUCAUAGUUGUAAUUGUUCAGCAUUUGACUGGCAUAUGAAUGGUAUUUGUAAUAUCUUUCUUUUGUCCAUAUUACCAGGAAAUAUGUCGAAACACCAAAUGUAUUCCAUUUGUGGUGGACUAACAAAACAACACAACACAUAAACUGAGGAAUGUAAGUGCAAACAUUUAUUUCUCUUUAAAUUCUUGAGUAUGAUGCCAUUUUUGUUACAAGUGUUGAUUCAGUUCUAACAUUUCGAGGUUACUAAUCCAUUCCAAGUUAUCAUUGCUUAACAGCAAUGUUAUCCAAAGCUCAUGUGACUUGAUUGGUAUCUCCUUCUGUUUUAUGUCAUACCAAUAACUUGCAAUGUUGAAAUUAUGUUUUUUGGCGCCCACAUUUUCUAUAUAACUUGGAAAACUAUUGAAUACGCUAUCAGUAUGACGUCUGAAUAGCACUGCUUUGUCAGAUAUAUAGUCACCUUCAAGUCCAUCCAUAUUUUGUUUGGGUGAUAUAAAUAGCUUUGAAGGAGACAUCUACUAGCAGUUGAAUGAAGCAUCCUUAUAGUAACUCUGUGUGAAAGACUUGAUAUCAAGAAAACUACAAAUCUAGAAGAUGUAGAAGGUAGAACCAUAGAGAGAUGUGCAUGUUUAAUUGACAUAUAUUCAGGAGUACAUUUGUGAAGCUGAGAUAUCUUUAUUUUACAGGACAUGGUUGCUCUUGCUUCAUCUAAACAGUCUGUAUGGAAUUCCAUGGGACCGAGAUUGGUGUAGGAAAUCUUCAAAGCUAUUACAUUGGUGUAGAAAUAGACAUAAAAUGUUUUCCCAAUUUUGCACCUCAGAAGUCGUAAAAUGAGCUUGAGUUAAAAUUAAUCAGGGGAGACAAGUUCUUGUUUACCAUCACAAAUAUGUACUGUAAAUUAGGCAUGACACACUGAUUGUCUUGUUUGGAUUUAAUUUGCAACAAGCUAUAUGUUUGUGUUUCUAUAGUCAUGAAGAGGAAGACAAUGCUUUCCUUUUUGUAAACUAAUAAUAUAAAUGUAAUUUCUUUGCAUUGUUUAUUGACCAUAUGGUCUGUACUUAACCAUCAAAAGUAACUAUUGCCCACCUGCACACCGGGCACAUAUCCUUACUCACCGCCGGCGUAUGGAAGAACUACGGCGUCGGCGUGCUUUACCUGGAGAGGAUAUGCAGCAGUGUGUGGCGUUGUACUCCUACAUAGUUGUGCCUCAGGUAACCUCAAGUUCACUUGGCCUGGUUGCCUAAUCAUGUGAACACAUAAAAACAUUAGGUGAAAGUGUUGGGUUGUCUCUCAACAAGCGCUUUUUUAAUGGAUUUUAGCUAGGCAUGAUAAGUUCAAUGAUGCUCGCAUAAAAGAUAAGGAUUGAAACACAAAAGGAGAGCAUCAUGAAGCAUAUGACUAGCACAUUUAAUUCUAACCCACUUCCUAUGCUAGGGAUUUUGUGAGCAAACAAUUUAUGGGAGCAAAAUAAUCAACUAGUAUAGGAAGGCAAAACAAGUAUAACUUCAAAAAUUUGAACACAUAGAGAGGAAACGUGAUAUUAUUGCAAUUCCUACAAGCAUAUGUUCCUCCCUCAUAAUAAUUUUCAGUAGUAUCAUGAAUGAAUUCAACAAUAUAACUAUCAAAUAAAGCAUUCUUUUCAUGCUGCAUAAGCAUAGAAAUUUUAUUACUCUCCACAUAAGCAAAUUUGUUCUCAUGAAUAGUAGUGGGAGCAAAGUCAACAAAAUAACUAUCAUGUGAGUGAAAAUUAAUAUCAUGAUGACAAGUUUCAUACUGAACUAAAACCACGACGAGUAAAUCGGAGCGGAGGGAGUAGUUAUCAUUAUACUUUAUGCAUAAAUGUCAUCUUCAUAAUCAUCAUAGAUGACAGCUUUUUUAUCAUAGUCAAUUGAAACCUUUUCGAAGUAGUGGAUCCAUCAUUAAAUGAAUUCUUGACCUCUCCAAAUCCACUUUCAUAAUUAUAAUCAUCAUAAAUAGAAGGCAUGCAAUCAUUAUAACAAAUUUGCACAUCAAAUCCUGGGGGAAUAAAAAUAUCAUCUUCAUCAAACAUAGCAUCCCCAAGCUUAUGGCUUUGCAUAUCAUUAGCAUCAUGGAUAUUCAAAGAAUUCAUAAUAAAAACAUUGUAAUCAUACUCAUCAUUUAUACCAAACAUUCUAUUGAAUUCUUCUUCUAUAAAUUGAGCACAAUUUUCCUUUCCAUCAUUUUCACGAAAGACAUUAUAAAGAUGAACAAUAUGAGGCAACCUCAAUUACAUUUUCUGUAGUUUUAUUUUUAUAAACCAAACUAGUGAUAAAAUAAGAAACUAAAAGAUUCAAUUGCAAGAUCUAAAGAUAUACCUUUAAACACUCACCUGCUCGGCAACGGCGCCAGAAAAGAGCUCGAUAUCUACUACACAACUUGUUCUUGUAGACUCGUGUUGGGCCUUCAAGCAUAGAGUUUUGUAGGACAGUGGCAAAUUUCACUCAAAUGGAUGACCUAAGGUUUAUCAAUCCAUGGGAGGCGUAGGAUGAAGAUGAUCUCUCUCAAAUAACCGUGCAACCAAAUAAUAAAAAGUCUUGGGUCCCCAACACACCAAAUACAAUGGUAAUUUGUAUAGGUGCACUAGUUCGGCGAAGAGAUGGUAAUAAAAGCUUAGUAAUGACAGUAGAUAUUGGCUUUUGUAAUAAGAACAAUGAAAACAUCAAGGUUGCAAUUGAUAAAACGGAGUACAAACGGUAUUGCAAUGCUUCAAAAUGAGGCCUGGGUCCGUACUUUCGCCAGUGCAAUCUCUCAACAAUACUAAUGUAACUGGAUCACAUAACUAUCCCUCAACGUGCGAUGAAGAAUCACUCCAAAGUUCUUAUCUAGCGGAGAACAUAAGAAUAAAUUGUUUGUAGGGUACAAAACCACCUCAAAGCUAUUCUUUCCGAUCGAUCUAUACAAGAGUUCAUACUAAAAUAAUACUAAAGCAAAUUCAGAUUCGUAAUACUAAAUCCAACACAAAGAACCUCAAAGAGUGCCCCAAGAUUUCUACCGGAGAAACAAAGACAAGAACGUGCAUAAAUCCCUAUGCAUAGAUUACCCCAAUGUCACCUCGGGAAUCCGCGAGUUGAGUGCCAAAACAUAUAUCAAGUGAAUCAAUAUAAUACCCCAUUGUCACCACAGGUAUCCAUACGCAAGACAUAUAUCAAGUGCUCUCAAAUUCAUAAAAGUAUUCAAUCGGAUAAAAUGAAAUCUCAAAGGGAAAACUCAGUUCAUCACAAGAUAGAGAGGGAAAAACACCAUAUGAUCCGACUAUAUUAACAAAGCCCACGAUACAUCAAGAUCGUGACAUCUCAAGAACAAGAGAGAGAGAGAGAGAGAGAGAGAGAGAGAGAGAGAGAGAGAUUAAACACAUAGCUACUGGUACAAACCCUCGGCCCGGAGGGUGGACUACUCCCUCCUCGUCAUGCUGGCGCCGGGAUGAUGAAGAUGGCCACCGGUAAUGAUCUCCCCCUCCGGCAGGGUGCUGGAACGGGGGUCUAGAUUGGUUUUCAUGGAUACAGAGGCUUGCGGCAGCGGAACUUCUGAUCUAGGGUCUCCGCGAGGGUUUGUGGAAUAUUUGACGAUUUAUAGGGUGAAGAGGGGGUGCGGGAGGCCACCAAGGUGGGCACCCCUAGGUGCUGCUCUGGCCCAUUGGAUGUCUUCUGGUCCAUAAAAAAUCAACAAAAAGUUUUGCGGUGUUUGGACUCCGUUUGAUAUUGAUUUCCUGCGAUGUAAAAAACAAGCAAAAAACAACAACUAGCACUGGGCACUGGGUGAAUAAGUUAGUCCGAAAAAUGAUAUAAAGUUGCUAUAAAAUGAUUGUAAAACAUCCAAAAACGAUAAUAUAACAGUAUGAAUACUUCAUAAAUUAUAGAUACGUUGGAGACGUAUCAAGAUGCAGCUUAUAAAGUUUCAUACUUCCGCUCCAGUACUUCUUAAAAAAAUUCAAAGUGUGCAUAUGUUUAUUGUUCUGUGUUGUAUUCCUGGACUUUGUGUGGUCCGAGCCGCUGAAUUUUUUGGAUUUGGUUUCGCUGUACCUGCAGAAAUUUUGGCAUGUUUAGCACUUUAGUUAUGCUUCUCGAGUAGCAUUGGAAUUGUUCUCAGACUACUUUCUCUUGUGAUAGCUUUAGCGAUGAUGGAAAUUGGAGUGCAGCUUGAUUGUUAACACCUCAUUCUAUGGCAGGCUUGGCAAAAAGGCGGCAGCUGACGAAAGGAGGUCACCACCAAGAUGAGCGAGACCGUUUUGACGGACUCAGGUGUGUGCUCUCGUUGGUGGUUUCAGUUUGGUAAUUCUCGUUACACCUAGCUUCUGUUCUCUCAAUUUCUGGGAAUUUUGUGUGCCAUUGCAUUAUUGAAUACAUGCCAGCAGGAUGGAAAGCAGUGAGCAGCGGCGCAUCAUCCAGAGGCGGCUAGCAUGAGGCUAAACCUGCCUUUCCUCCACGUUGAUGAAUAGCAGGACCUAGGAUAGCUAAGGUGUGCAUGUAGAUAGAGGCGCUCCUGCAAGAGAUGAGGGAGCAGUUGGUGGUCCGGACGGCGAAGAUCAGGUCAACGUCGGCUGCUUUGCUGUGCCAUUGCCACACUUCGGCUGGUACACGCUCGGACGGCCAUGGCGCCGGCGUCACUUCGUCAUCUUCUCUGGAGCCACACCAUUUCUGCGGGAUAAGCGAGUUGGAGGAAGAUGGGAGAGAUGAGUCGCUUACUCAUUGACAGAAAAUCAUUUGGGCGGAACCUCCUUUUCACGAGGGAUGAUUGAUUGUUCCUCCGCCUUCGCUUUUGUGACCUGUGCGUUGCAUGUGAACCACUGUUGUUUAGGUUGUUGGUCAUGUAAACUAUAAGGACAUAUUAAUACAAGGGUCUGUUUAGGACACAUCUAGAUGUGACAUAGUUAUAUCACAUCUAAGUUGAUGUCCAUCUGUUUGUGGUCUUUCUUUUUGUCCUAUUUUUUUUUUUUUUGAGAAUCACCGGGGGAGGAGUUCCUCCACCUGAAUAUAUUACUCAAAGUGGACAAAUGCCAGAGGAGUGAUCCAGUUUAUAAGGAAAACCGAAUCGAAAACCUUAACAAAUUGACCCAUUUAUAAGGAAAACCAGGCCAAAAACCAUACAAGACACAACCAAGCUAGUGGACAUAAGACCAUCACCACGAGAGACACAAGUAGAUGUGGGGUGUCGUCGGGAGAUCACAAUACCAAGACUUUGCAAACAGCCAAACGCAUCGGCAAGCAUACCGGCCCCCAUGGCACAACUCAGGAGCAUCCACAAUCAAUGAGUGUCAUCCCAGACACGAACCUUGACUGGGACUCCGCCACAGGAAAUCGGAGCGAUAGCAAUUUUGAGAGGCAUCUUGCACCGACCUUGAGCAAAGAUGAGCUGAGACAACACUAAGAGCACGACGCUCGCCGCAACACAAUGGGAACCAUGAGAGGGUCUUGAGCAACCAUCCAACUGAGCCGCACGAGAACACCACCACCGUAGACGAAGAACUCCAAUCAACCGAGACCAUACAUGGUGCCUCAAGGCUAUUGGCGCAACCCAAGGGCAACGAGAGACCGAGUCCACACCCGGACGAAGAGUCACACGCAGUUGAGGCUACAUCACAACAGCGGCACCGCCAGCGAAGAAGAAGGGCAUCAAGGGGCUGAGUCUACAUCCGGAUCGCUUCACCGUGCAUACCAGCGCAAGCCGGCCGCGCCACCACCACCGCAUCACACACCACCAUCGACCCCUGCCGGCCGCAUAAACACACCACCAGCAUCUCCGCUGCACCACGACCAACAUUCCAGCAGCAAGCAACACCCACACAACAACCAUAUUGACCCCAAAGAUGACGCCUUCAAGAAGGGCCACGAUGCUGGUUGCGCCGCCAUCAUCCGUACAGGAUGACCUGGACUAGGGGUUUCCCCGGGGGUCUCCACAAGGGGGGUGCAGACAACAAAUACAAUGACGCCUCCAAGGAGGUUAGCGGCGCCCACGGGCGUCGCCGCCGCCGUGUGAUGCCCACGAUUCAAUCGUACACUAAUCAUGCACGCAAACGUGUACGAUCAAGAUCAGGGACUCACGGGAAGAUAUCACAACACAACUCUAAAAACAUAAAUAAGUCAUACAAGCAUCAUAAUACAAGCCAGGGGCCUCGAGGGCUCGAAUACAAGUGCUCGAUCAUAGACGAGUCAGCGGAAGCAACAAUAUCUGAGUACAGACAUAAGUUAAACAAGUUUGCCUUAAGAAGGCUAGCAUAAACUGGGAUACAGAUCGAAAGAGGCGCAGGCCUCCUGCCUGGGAUCCUCCUAAACUACUCCUGGUCGUCGUCAGCAGCCUGCAUGUAGUAGUAGGCACCUCCAGUGUAGUAGUCGUCGUCGACGGUGGCGUCCGGCUCCUGGGCUCCAGCAUCUGGUUGCGACAACCAGAAAGAAAGGAAAGGGGGAAAAGGGGGGAGAAAGCAACCGUGAGUACUCAUCCAAAGUACUCGCAAGCAAGGAGCUACACUACAUAUGCAUGGGUAUAUGUGUAAAGGGCCAUAUCAGUGGACUGAACUGCAGAAUGCCAGAAUAAGAGGGGGAUAGCUAGUCCUAUCGAAGACUACGCUUCUGGCAGCCUCCGUCUUGCAGCAUGUAGAAGAGAGUAGAGUGAAGUCCUCCAAGUAGCAUCUCCAAGUAGCAUCUCCAAGUAGCAUCUCCAGUAGCAUCGCAUAGCAUAAUCCUACCCGGCGAUCCUCCCCUCGUCGCCCUGUGGAAAAGCGAUCACCGGGUUGUCUGUGGAACUUGGAAGGGUGUGUUUUAUUAAGUAUCCGAUUCUAGUUGUCAUAAGGUCAAGUUACAACUCCGGGUCGUCCUUUUACCGAGGGACACGGCUAUUCGAAUAGAUAAACUUCCCUGCAGGGGUGCACCACAUUACCCAACACGCUCGAUCCCAUUUGGCCGGACACACUUUCCUGGGUCAUGCCCGGCCUCGGAAGAUCAACACGUCGCAGCCCCACCUAGGCACAACAGAGAGGUCAGCCCGCCGGUCUAAAUCCUAUGCACGCAGGGGUCUGGGCCCAUCGCCCAUUGCACACCUGCACGUUGCGAGGGCGGCCGGAAACAGACCUAGCAACCUCCAUUACAAAGGAAGUUGCGUUAACGCAGUCCAAUCCGGCGCGCGCCGCUCCGUCGCUGACGUCAAGAAGGCUUCGGCUGAUACCACGACGCCGGGAUACCCAUAACUACUCCCGCAUAGAUGGUUAGUGCGUAUAGACCAAAUGGCCAGACUCAGAUCAAAUACCCAGAUCUCGUUAAGCGUGUUAAGUAUCCGCGAACGCCGAACAGGGCCAGGCCCACCUGUCUCCUAGGUGGUCUCAACCUGCCCUGUCGCUCCGCCACAAAGUAACAGUCGGGGGCCGUCGGGAACCCAGGCCCACCUCUACCGGGAUGGAGCCACCUGUCCUUUCAGCCCCCUCAUCAGAAUCACUUGCGGGUACUCAACGAGAUGACCCGACUUUAGUCACCAUCUGCAUAGUAUGUAUGUAUGUAUAGUGUAUACCCGUGAUCACCUCCCAAGUGACCACAGCCCGAUAGUAUAGCAAGGCAGACUGACAAGAAUGUAGGGCCAAUGAUGAUAAACUAGAAUCCUAUACUAAGUAUUUAGGAUUGCAGGUAAGGUAUCAACAGAUGUAGCAACAAUGUCAGGCUAUGCAUCAGAAUAGGAUUAACGAAAAGCAGUAACAUGCUACACUACUCUAAUGCAAGCAGUAUAGAGGAGAAUAGGCGAUAUCUGGUGAUCAAGGGGGGGGGCUUGCCUGGUUGCUCAGACAAGGAGGAGGGGUCGUCGGUGACAUAGUCGACCACAGGGGCAUCAGCAUCGUCACGGGGUCUACCGGAGAGAAGAGGGGGGAGAAACAGUAAAUACAUAGCAAGCAAGUGCAUAACAGGACAACAAGCAGAGCUAGACGUGUUCUAUCGCGGUAUGAGGUGAUACCGGUGAAGGGGGAAAACAUCCGGGAAAGUAUCCCCGGUGUUCCGUGUUUUCGGACAGAUGAACCGGAGGUGAAAUGUUGCAGGUUCACUAUGCUAGGGACGCGUGGCGGAUGAACGAGCUGCGUAUCCGGAUCCGUCUCAUCGUUCCGAGCAACUUUCAUGUUGAAAAUAAUUUAAUCCGAGUUACGGAUUAAAAGAUAUGAUUUUCUAAAGAUUUUAAUAAUUUCUGGAAUUUAAUUAAUUAUUUAAUUUAAUUCGAAAAUGUAUUUAUGACAUCAGCAUGAUGUCAUGCUGACAUCAGCAGUCAACAGGGUUGACUGGGUCAAACUGACAUGUGGGGUCCGCAUGUCAUAGACUGAACAGGCUAAUCAGGUUUUAAUUAAGUUAACUAGUGAUUAGAUUAAUUUAAUCAGGAUUAAUUAAGUUAAUUAAUUAACGAAUUAAUAUUUUAUUUAUUAUAUAUAUAUAUAUAUAUAAUUUUAUUAAGUCCUCCUUUUUUUGUUCUCAGGGGCGUGGGCCCCGUUUGUCAUUGGCCUAGAGGCCAUAGCGGGCACGAGCGCUAACGGGCAUAGCCCGAACGGGCGCUAACCCGCGGGGGCACACCCGACCAGGCAACAAGGGGCGGCUGGUGGGCGCGGGCGCCAGCACGCCGGCGUUGAGCUCCGGCGGCUGCGACCGGGCGGAGCAUGGGGAGGGCCGCGGCUGCCGACAUGCAGCAGGGCGGCCAGAGGCGGACGACAUGAGCGCGAGGCCACGACGAGAGGGGCGGAGGCUCCUCGGUGCAACACAGGGCGAGCGGGGAGGAGCAACGCGUGCGGGCGCGGCGAACUGGUGCGGGGGCUCGCACCCGACGCCAUGAGAGGCGAGGGUGAGCGCGCCUGGGGGCCUCGAUGGUCGCGAGCGGAGGCGGCCGGGGACGUGCCGGCCACGGCAGACGUGGUGCGCGGGAGCAACGGCCGUCAGGGCGGUGCGUGUGGUGAGCGCGGACGGGGCGAGGAGCAAAGGGUCGGCGCGGCGACNNNNNNNNNNNNNNNNNNNNNNNNNNNNNNNNNNNNNNNNNNNNNNNNNNNNNNNNNNNNNNNNNNNNNNNNNNNNNNNNNNNNNNNNNNNNNNNNNNNNNNNNNNNNNNNNNNNNNNNNNNNNNNNNNNNNNNNNNNNNNNNNNNNNNNNNNNNNNNNNNNNNNNNNNNNNNNNNNNNNNNNNNNNNNNNNNNNNNNNNNNNNNNNNNNNNNNNNNNNNNNNNNNNNNNNNNNNNNNNNNNNNNNNNNNNNNNNNNNNNNNNNNNNNNNNNNNNNNNNNNNNNNNNNNNNNNNNNNNNNNNNNNNNNNNNNNNNNNNNNNNNNNNNNNNNNNNNNNNNNNNNNNNNNNNNNNNNNNNNNNNNNNNNNNNNNNNNNNNNNNNNNNNNNNNNNNNNNNNNNNNNNNNNNNNNNNNNNNNNNNNNNNNNNNNNNNNNNNNNNNNNNNNNNNNNNNNNNNNNNNNNNNNNNNNNNNNNNNNNNNNNNNNNNNNNNNNNNNNNNNNNNNNNNNNNNNNNNNNNNNNNNNNNNNNNNNNNNNNNNNNNNNNNNNNNNNNNNNNNNNNNNNNNNNNNNNNNNNNNNNNNNNNNNNNNNNNNNNNNNNNNNNNNNNNNNNNNNNNNNNNNNNNNGUUAGGGUUUGGGGGAGGGAGUGGAUAAGGAGGGGGUAGUGGAUAAGGAGGGGGGUAGUGGGCCGGCCGGCUGGGCCAAGUGGGCGAAUGGGCCGGCCCGCUGGGUCUGCUGGCCCGGGGGGGGGGUCUUUCUCUCUCCUUUUCUUCUAGUUUUAGUGUUUAGUUUUUCUGCUUUGUUUUUAAUUAUUUUCUUUUCUGUUUUAAAUCACUUUAAAUUAUUUAGACAUUUUAUAAAAAUGUGUUUGCUGCACCAUAAUUACCCUUGUAAUAUUUGGCAACCACCGAGCAUUUUUGUUUCAAGUUCUGAAAACUUUUAUUAUCAACAAUAAUUUUAAAUUCGAAUUUGACGCGGUUGAACUAACAGACAUUUAGCAAAAGUAAUCGGGAUGACAUGGCAUCACUAGCAGAGGAUCACUGUAGCUUAAUUACCCGGGCGUCACAAUUCUCCUCCACUACAAGAAAUCUCGUCCCGAGAUUUAAGAGGGUCUAAGGGGGAAACGUUUGUUUACGAAAUUCUAACGAAUCUUCUCGGUCUUGGUUGCUCCUCUCAAAGUGGUCGAUCCAUUAUAUUGAUGUCUUCAUUUUUCUGCUUCAGGUCAUCAAGAUGAAGUCGACAUCCUUUCCUUGGGGGUUCCAUCGUACUUACGACAGAAUAAGGGGGUUAUUCCGGGAGAACGAACCUCUACAAGGUUGACUAUCUGGUCGAUAACAUCGGGGAAGGUGGCGGAAAGUAACUCUUGAAUUGAAACUUAAGUAAAUAUCGAGAGCAAGUAAUGAGGUUUCAUGGGAAGUUUCGAGUGAGCAGGCAACAGUUCGCUGCCUGAACAGGGCUUGAAAAGGGCUCAAAGCAAUCGGGACUAAGUAUUGCGUCCGGUAACAGAUUUGAUGAUCUCUCGGAAGGUGGCUCGUGAAUUACAUACGAGGCCACACGCGAGGAAGAACCUUGGGAACAGGGGGUGCAGGAGAGUCAAGUUUCGAUCCUGGGAACUAUGGGUUAUGGGCCCACCAUGUGGGUUAAAGGUAGGAAGGGGGGCUGACAUCUUACAUGGUCACAAUAGCAAGGCAUGCCAGAGGGUAGCCUAUUAGUUAUGUCGGCAACAACAUCGAUACCAAGGGUGAGGGACGAAGAGAACCAUUUUCCUGCUCGCUGAACGAGGCGGACCAAUAGGGAAAGUUCCCGUCCAUCGGUGGUUACCGAAAUGUCAUCAACAAUAGUAACAGGGUCUGACUGAUAAGGUAGUACGCCGAGGUGUUUUCGUAAGCAGGAAAAUAUUAGUGCUUAGAUCUUAUAGAUCACUAGAAAGGUUAAACCAAACAAUGGAAAUGAUUAUAUCAUUAUCAGAUUAGAUAGAACAAUGGAAAGGAAAACGUGUUAGAACACAUAUCCCCUGGGUAUAUCCUUCCCACGGACAAGUAAGGCAUGAUAUGCAAGACAGGAUACAAAGCAGAAAACCCUUUAGGUAAGGGGAGAGAAACUUCAUGACAUUACCCAUACAACAGUGUCUGGAUAAUUGAGUAAGAAACAUUUAGCAUUGGGCUCCGAUGGAAUCAUCGGCAAUUCAUCGAGAUUUAACAAAAGAUGGAUUUCCACAAUUAUGUGAACAAGGAGAUAACAUUUGUCAGAUCAAAUGGUAUAAUGAUGUAUGCUCGAGGAAAACAUACACAAUUAAACAUUGGAUGAAAGGUGCACCCGAAUAUGGGCUGGGUUGCACAACCAAUGUCGGAAUGGUGAUUCAAUAAUCAAUAGGCUAAGGAUGAACGGUCAACCAUUAACUUCAAAGCAAGAGGGUUGCUAGAAGGGCAGAAUCCAAACAACACCGUUCACUUGUGGGUACCCCGGUUGGAAUCAACACGAGGACCAAGAAAGAAUGGUGAGGGUGAGAAGUUAUCACAAUACCAAGAACUCUCAAGACGUGGUGAAAUUCUCACGACAUUCUUGACAUAAAAGAAGGUAAUACUCCAAGGUAAAGAAGAACAAAUGCUGGGGAGCAAGGAUCUCAAGGUAUACACAAAACACGAAAAAGUUUGUGUUGAACGGAAGGCAAUAAAGUGGUCGAUGAUAACACAAAUCAUCGAGGGAAGGAUGGUAUUUCCCAUCAUGAAUUCGAUUGGUAUCCUGGAAGGAGUUAAAAUGUUGAUCAUGAUCACGACACAUUUGUCGAGAGAUUUCAUGAAGAUGUAAUCGAUUGGCGAUAACAUCAAGUCAAAGGAUUUAUGAAGCAAAAGGUUAUUGGAACCAUGCGUACGACACAAACUCAAAAUCAAGCUUGUUGUCCAAAGCGAAAUGAUAUGAUGAGGAAGAUCGACGUAAGCUUAGCUCAUUGUCAAAAAUUAUGCUCUGGGAAGAGGACCAGGUAGCACAGUUAAAAUCGGCACGACAAGGAUAUAGCUAAACAUGCUAGGAAUGACGUGAUUGAGUUCAAACUCGUAAGUAAUGAAGGUUACCAAGAGUUGCUUAAUCGCGAUGCGGACUCGAGUCCGUUAUCGGUGUCUUUGAGUGUUAAAUAACUCAGAGCCCGUGAAAAAUUGGAAUCAAUGAGAAUGUAGCACUUGAUGAAGAACUCAUAAGAAGUUAUGCAGUUCCGUGAUAAUCUUGAGAUACCAGGGGGUAAUACUCGACGACAAAUCAAAGUAGAGGUUGGACUGGGGUAUUACUCUGUAGAAGACAAGUGCUUAAACUUGCACGAGAAAUGGUAUUUAAAGGAGAACAUGGUCGGAACCACGAUUGCAUAAGACCAGAUCCCAGAUAUAAGAUGAACUUAUACCAAAGGAAUAAUUAAUUUAAGAGAAGCUUCAAUGAUACGAUCUACAUCAUGUCCAUGGGCAUAAACACAAAGUUCAAGGUCGACUCCCACUUCUCCAAUGCAUAACCUUUCAUUCCCUUCUCACUUUCAAAGAAGUUGUAGUGUUGGAAUUUUAUCUGGCAAAAUACCAGAAGAGUAUGACUCGUGAAAACUUCCGAGUUCACACAUAUUAAGGAAGGCAUAGGUUCAACCCAUCGGGUUAUCUUAUAAACAUAUGCCACCAGCUACAAGAGUAAAUGUCACCAGCUCCAAGCAGAGCAGGGUUGGCCAAAUCAGAGAAUAGGAUUUAUUAAUGGCAUUAGGUAUCAGGGAAAGAACUUCUCGAGGUUUUCGUAUACAACGGACUCUGUCGGAUGAUAAUUCAACAAAUGACCUGAUGGUCCGUAACGGAGCUGAUGUGAGUAUCGCCACACAACCGGCGAAAGAAACAAUACAAAGGCAUUGGAUUAUAGAAGCAACUGACUAUUUCAAAGCACAAUUGCAAAGGAAUUAUGAUUUCUAAUUCAAGGGAUCAAAAGCAACGCUCUGAUUAGGGAUGGAUAACUUGAAUAGCCUUAGGGGUACAAUCAACGAUAAUUUGAUUGGUCGAGAACCAGCUCAUGUUCAAAAAUGACGUCUGAGCCGGAAGGACGAACUCUAAUUGCGACUGACGAUUGUGAACAUCUGCAACAUAUUGAAUCAACGGUCUCAAAAUGAUAGUGCAAAGGAUGUCAAUGAAUAAUGCUAGGCAUUUGGAUUUAACCAUAAUGCAGGCAGACAAGAAUUUCUAGAGCCAUAGGCUGCAAAGGAUUCUCGAAAAAUCGGAUAAUAUUUCGAAGAAUUUUGUGAAACACCUGAACAACUGGGGGAAUGAGCGGAUACUCGAUAAGGGCAAGAAAUUAUCCGUAGGGGUAUUCAUAUGGCAAAGAACUGCAAGGCAGUAGGCACAAAAUAUCCUAGGAACAAUAGAGAGGAUUUCAGGGUAUCUUGUAAUAAUAAGAUCAACUAGGAAUAGAAGUAAGAAUGAGAAGUGUAUGCAAUUUUCAUAGGGGUUGACGGUGGAAGGAAAUCGCAAAUGCGAUGGCACAAAGACUUGAGAGAACAUUGUAGAGUAACUUCGACAUCUUCUAGUGCAGCAGGCGAUCUGAAUUGAGGGGCUCUCCGGGAGAAAGUAUUUUCGAGAACCUAAAGUUAGUUUUGUUUUUGGCAAAAUCAUUUAACCCGAAUAGAAGAGAGAUCAGAGUCCCAGAGUAUAGGUCGAGGAAUAAAAGAUCCUAAUACCACCCAAUGGCGACGUGGGCCCAUGGGCUGCACAGCCAUGUUAGUAAAACAGUUUUCAUCGACUAGACUCAACUUCGGCCAAGGAGUUGGAAAGUGGAUUCCUACAGGCAGUCGGCUCUGAUACCAACUUGUUACGCCCCCGAUUCAAUCAUACAUUAAUCAUGCACGCAAACGUGUACGAUCAAGAUCAGGGACUCACGGGAAGAUAUCACAACACAACUCUAAAAACAUAAAUAAGUCAUACAAGCAUCAUAAUACAAGCCAGGGGCCUCGAGGGCUCGAAUACAAGUGCUCGAUCAUAGACGAGUCAGCGGAAGCAACAAUAUCUGAGUACAGACAUAAGUUAAACAAGUUUUCCUUAAGAAGGCUAGCAUAAACUGGGAUACAGAUCGAAAGAGGCGCAUGCCUCCUGCCUGGGAUCCUCCUAAACUACUCCUGGUCGUCGUCAGCAGCCUGCACGUAGUAGUAGGCACCUCCAGUGUAGUAGUCGUCGUCGACGGUGGCGUCCGGCUCCUGGGCUCCAGCAUCUGGUUGCGACAACCAGAAAGAAAGGAAAGGAGGAAAAGGGGGGAGAAAGCAACCGUGAGUACUCAUCCAAAGUACUCGCAAGCAAGGAGCUACACUACAUAUGCAUGGGUAUAUGUGUAAAGGGCCAUAUCAGUGGACUGAACUGCAGAAUGCCAGAAUAAGAGGGGGAUAGCUAGUCCUAUCGAAGACUACGCUUCUGGCAGCCUUCGUCUUGCAGCAUGUAGAAGAGAGUAGAGUGAAGUCCUCCAAGUAGCAUCUCCAAGUAGCAUCUCCAGUAGCAUCGCAUAGCAUAAUGCUACCCGGCGAUCCUCCCCUCGUCGCCCUGUGGAAAAGCGAUCACCGGGUUGUCUGUGGAACUUGGAAGGGUGUGUUUUAUUAAGUAUCCGGUUCUAGUUGUCAUAAGGUCAAGGUACAACUCCGGGUCGUCCUUUUACCGAGGGACACGGCUAUUCGAAUAGAUAAACUUCCCUGCAGGGGUGCACCACGUAACCCAACAUGCUCGAUCCCAUUUGGCCGGACACACUUUCCUGGGUCAUGCCCGGCUUCGGAAGAUCAACACGUCGCAUCCCCACCUAGGCACAACAGAGAGGUCAGCCCGCCGGUCUAAAUCCUAUGCGCGCAGGGGUCUGGGCCCAUCGCCCAUUGCACACCUGCACGUUGCAAGGGCGGCCGGAAACAGACCUAGCAACCUCCAUUACAAAGGAAGUUGCGUUAACGCAGUCCAAUCCGGCGCGCGCCGCUCCGUCGCUGACGUCAAGAAGGCUUCGGCUGAUACCACGACGCCGGGAUACCCAUAACUACUCCCGCGUAGAUGGUUAGUGCGUAUAGACCAAAUGGCCAGACUCAGAUCAAAUACCCAGAUCUCGUUAAGCGUGUUAAGUAUCCGCGAACGCCGAACAGGGCCAGGCCCACCUGUCUCCUAGGUGGUCUCAACCUGCCCUGUCGCUCCGCCGCAAAGUAACAGUCGGGGGCCGUCGGGAACCCAGGCCCACCUCUACCGGGAUGGAGCCACCUGUCCUUUCAGCCCCCUCAUCAGAAUCACUUGCGGGUACUCAACGAGCUGACCCGACUUUAGUCACCAUCUGUAUAGUAUGUAUGUAUGUAUAGUGUAUACCCGUGAUCACCUCCCAAGUGACCACAGCCCGAUAGUAUAGCAAGGCAGACUGACAAGAAUGUAGGGCCAAUGAUGAUAAACUAGCAUCCUAUACUAAGUAUUUAGGACUGUAGGUAAGGUAUCAACAGAUGUAGCAACAAUGUCGGGCUAUGCAUCAGAAUAGGAUUAACGAAAAGCAGUAACAUGCUACACUACUCUAAUGCAAGCAGUAUAGAGGAGAAUAGCCGAUNNNNNNNNNNNNNNNNNNNNNNNNNNNNNNNNNNNNNNNNNNNNNNNNNNNNNNNNNNNNNNNNNNNNNNNNNNNNNNNNNNNNNNNNNNNNNNNNNNNNNNNNNNNNNNNNNNNNNNNNNNNNNNNNNNNNNNNNNNNNNNNNNNNNNNNNNNNNNNNNNNNNNNNNNNNNNNNNNNNNNNNNNNNNNNNNNNNNNNNNNNNNNNNNNNNNNNNNNNGUCGGUGACGUAGUCGACCACAGGGGCAUCAGCAUCGUCACGGGGUCUACCGGAGAGAAGAGGGGGAGAAACAGUAAAUACAUAGCAAGCAAGUGCAUAACAGGACAACAAGCAGAGCUAGACGUGUUCUAUCGCGGUAUGAGGUGAUACCGGUGAAGGGGGGAAACAUCCGGGAAAGUAUCCCCGGUGUUCCGUGCUUUCGGACAGAUGAACCGGAGGUGAAAUGUUGCAGGUUCACUAUGCUAGGGACGCGUGGCGGAUGAAAGGGCUGCGUAUCCGGAUCCGUCUCGUCGUUCUGAGCAACUUUCAUGUUGAAAAUAAUUUAAUCCGAGUUACGGAUUAAAAGAUAUGAUUUUCUAAAGAUUUUAAUAAUUUCUGGAAUUUAAUUAAUUAUUUAAUUUAAUUCGAAAAUGUAUUUAUGACAUCAGCAUGAUGUCAUGCUGACGUCAGCAGUCAACAGGGUUGACUGGGUCAAACUGACAUGUGGGGUCCGCAUGUCAUAGACUGAACAGGCUAAUCAGGUUUUAAUUAAGUUAACUAGUGAUUAGAUUAAUUUAAUCAGGAUUAUUUAAGUUAAUUAAUUCUUUAAUUAAUUAACUAAUUAAUAUUUUAUUUAUUAUAUAUAUAUAUAUAAUUUUAUUAAAUCCUCCUUUUUUUGUUCUUAGGGGCGUGGGCCCCGUUUGUCAUUGGCCCAGAGGCCAUAGCGGGCACGAGCGCUAACGGGCACAGCCCGAACGGGCGCUAGCCCGCGGGGGCGCACCCGACCAGGCAACAAGGGGCGGCUGGUGGGCGCGGGCGCCAGCACGCCGGCGUUGAGCUCCGGCGGCUGCGACCGGGCGGAGCAUGGGGAGGGCCGCGGCUGCCGACAUGCAGCAGGGCGGCCAGAGGCGGAUGACGUGAGUGCGAGGCCGCGACGAGAGGGGCGGAGGCUCCUCGGUGCGACACAGGGCGAGCGGGGAGGAGCAACGCGUGCGGGCGCGGCGAACUGGUGCUGGGGCUCGCACCCGACGUCAUGAGAGGCGAGGGUGAGCGCGCCUGGGGGCCUCGGUGGUCGCGAGCGGAGGCGGCCGGGGACNNNNNNNNNNCGAAUGGGCCGGCCCGCUGGGUCUGCUGGCCUGGGGGGGGGUCUUUCUCUCUCCUUUUCUUCUAGUUUUAGGUUUUAGUUUUUCUGUUUUGUUUUUAAUUAUUUUCUUUUCUGUUUUAAAUCACUUUAAAUUAUUUAGACAUUUUAUAAAAAUGUGUUUGCUGCACCAUAAUUACCCUUGUAAUAUUUGGCAACCACCGAACAUUUUUGUUUCAAGUUCUGAAAACUUUUAUUAUCAACAAUAAUUUUAAAUUCGAAUUUGACGCGGUUGAACUAACGGACAUUUAGUAAAAGUAAUCGGGAUGACAUGGCAUCACUAGCAGAGGAUCACUGUAGCUUAAUUACCCGGGCGUCACACGCCGGCUCCAGGUGGAGCAAAGCUUUCGCCCAAAGUUGAUCUGACACACUCCCGUCGACCGGUUGAGUGAGGAGGGUAGAUUAUCUGCACAAGCACAAGGACCAUGACUGCCCCGAUGCCGCACAUGGUCAGAAUCAAACCUGGGAGGAAGUAGCGCCGCCAAACCCAUCCACCGGCAGGACCACCCGCACCACGCAGAGGCCACCACCCAGGAAGUCCAGCAGCUCAAACCGGCACCACGCCGGCCGAAGCACACCAUAAGAAUCUCACCAGAACGCCGGCCCGGCCGAGCAGCGCCGUCCAGCAGGAGAAGCAGGUUGGGAGCGGCCGCUCCAGAUCCACCCGCAGCCGACCAGAGCCGCCGGCCCCCACCAUGCACAGCCGCCCUGCCGCCCGCGCGGGCCAGAGCUGCCGCAUCUCGCCGACGGCCCGCGACAACCAGAUUUAGGCCCGAAACCCCGAUCCACCACCAAACGGUGCGCCACCAUGCCACUCGACCGCGAGGAUGAGGGGAGGACGACGCAGCCGCUGCCUGGGGCCACCGCCCCAGCACCCAGCGCCACCGCACCACAGAUGUGGCCAGGCGGCUAGAUCCGCCCCGACGCGUAGCCUCGCGAAGCACGCCGCGCCGUCCAGGGCCGGCCACCGCGCGCGACCGAGCGAGGGAGGCCCGCCGCCGCCAGCUGCCGCGCGGGCUUUGCCCGGCGGUGCGGCCCGACGGCGGCGAGGGGGAGCGGGAGGGAAGUGGGGGGUGGCUGCGGCGGUGUUGGGUUUCGCCCGAGCCGCUCCCCUGGAGAGCGACGCGAGCGUGACUGUGGUAUGUAUAUAGAAAUAAAAUCAUUUUUUUUAUUUCUUGUUGAUGCAUUAUAUAUUUGUUGAAGCUUAGACGUGACAUCCUUAAAAAACAUCUAGAUGUGAAUUAGACAAACCGUUAAUAUAAUAUGACUCCUAAACCCUUUAACACUGUGAAGUACAUCCAGCAACGUGGAAGGGGCGUGUCUAACAUGGCACCUCCCAGCUUUCUAUCAGGUGGCUAGUGCACUAAAUAUAUGUUCAUGCUACACUCUCAUGUCGAUAUUAGACAGAAGUCUCUCAUGUACAAAAUUAGACAGAUGUUGGCGAGAAGUGCAUGGAUGAACCCGGGUACAUAUGAACCCACUUUGAAAAACACAUUUCUAAAUUCUAAAAAAAUCUGGAAAAAAAUUGCACGGGUACGUCUCCAUGUUCUAUGUGCGUGCAUAAAGUUUCAUGAAAAAAUAACUUUUUUUGUGACCUGUGCAAAAAAGACAAAAAAUUAUGUCGUGAAACACUAUUUAAAAGCACUGAAAUUUGUCUUUUUUUGCGGAGGCAAAACAAAAAGAUAUUUUUUGAUAAAACUUUGUGCCGCGUACACACAUUUGCGAACAUAUAUGCGUGAUAUUUUCUUUUGAUUUUUUUGACAUUUUAAAACGUGCUUAAAAUGCAUUUUAUGAAAAGUGGGUGCAUAUGCCCAUGGGUUCAGAUGGUGCCCUCUCGAUGUUGGCGGACCAAACUAGCAAUUCCCAUGGGUCGACAUCGGGGGUCUCAUUGGCACAGUGUCAUCCUUUGGUACAAGAAAGCAUAGGUACCUCAUAAUAUCAGUUAGUAGUAGUAGUUAGCAAGAGAACAGUUAGUGCACUAGAACAAUAUCCAGCUUCCCUUUGGUUGCUGCCCUCGCAACUUCACAGUAUAUGUACACCCCUCGAUCGGUUCUCAGGAGGCAAAUUAAGGUCUGCAUCAUCAUCCAGAUAUGGAGCUGCUCGCAGUCCCCGUCCUGCUGGCGGCCAUGGCCAUGGCCUUGACCUAUCUGGCCUGGACGGCCGCCUCCCGUCGUCGGCGUUCACAGUGCUACCUCCUCGAUUACGUCUGCUACAAACCGCCAGACGACCGCAAGGUGACGACGGAUAUGGGGGUCGCACUGGCCGAGCGUAACAAGCGGCUCGGCGCCCCUGAGUUACGCUACCUCUUCCGCCUAACGUCUCGCGCCGGUCUGAGUGAGCAGACCUACCUCCCUUGUGGCAUCUUGGCAGGCCGCGAGAAGUGCCUCACCCACCAGGACGCGCUCGACGAGAUGGACGCCUUCUUCAUCGACGCCGUCGCCGGCCUCUUUGCCAAUACCGGAUUCGGCCCCCGUGACGUGGACGUGCUCGUGGUCAACGUCAACAUGUUCAACCCGGAGCCUUGCCUUGCCUCGCGGAUCGGGCACCACUACGGAAUGCGCGAGGACGUCGCGGCGUACAACGUCUCCGGCAUGGGCUGCAGCGCCACGCUGGUCUCGUUGGAUAUCGUCCAGAACGUCAUGCGGGCACGGUCGCCGCGCCCCGUGCUUGCGCUUGUGCUGUCGACGGAGGUGCUCUCGCCUGGAAACUACCUGGGCACGGACAGGUCCAUGAUGCUGGGACUAUGCCUUUUCCGCUGCGGCGGGGCAGCGGCGCUGCUCACCAGCAACCCCGCGCUCGGUGGACGCGCCAAGAUGAAGCUACGCCGCCUUGUGCGGGCCAACGUCGCCGCCGCCGACGAUGCGUACUCCGCCAUCUUUCAGCGCGAGGACGCAGACAACAUAACAGGGUUCAGCAUCAACAAGACACUCCCAAAGGCUGCCGUCCGAGCGUUCGCCGCCAACCUGGAACGGGUCGUCCCUUACAUCCUCCCUGUCAGGGAGCUCCUCCGACUUGCCACCGACUUGAUACGUCAGAAGAUGUCUCGCCGCCGGCGAUUCAAGAUCGAUGUCAACUUGAAGACUGGGGUCGACCAUUUCUGCCUCCACUCGGGUGGGGUUGCUGUCAUCGACGCUGUGAAGAAGAACUUCGGGCUCACCGAGAGGGACGUGGAGCCGUCGAGGAUGACGCUGCACCGCUGGGGAAACACGUCGGCCAGCAGCGUGUGGUACGUGCUGGCAUACAUGGAGGCCAAGGAGAGGCUCAAGAGAGGGGACAGAGUGCUUAUGGUGACCUUCGGAUCGGGCUUCAAGUGCAACAGUUGCAUGUGGGAUGUGAAUCGCGAUCUGGCGGACAAGGGUCCGUGGGCCGACUGCAUUGAUGAGUACCCGGUGCAGAGCACAGCCAACCCGUGCUUGGACAAGUAUAGCUGGAUGAUGAAUGACAACACUGAUGACGAUUCCACAUUCCCUCUGUUGUAAAACACGUGGACGGCGCGUACGUCAAUCACGGAUCAGAAGGGCCGCGAAUAAGAGCAUAAGAACUUCUCUUCGUCAGAUUAUAUAUGGGAGUAAAAGUACUUGAAAAACUAGCAUGAUGACACUCACAACUGCGAGGGCAUCAUCUUUAGAGUAUUUAUUGAAUAUGCGUGCGCGUAUAAUAUUUAUGUUUUCAAGAUACUGAGAAUAUAUAUUUCAAAUAUAUAUGGCAGUAUAGCCACCGAAAAUGUUAAAUAAAAUAUGAGAUGGGCAGAAAAUAUUUUGUAUCAUUUUAGUUUGUGGGAUAAUAAUAGCAUACAAGUAAUCCCCCCAAAAAACUGCUAGAUGUGCAGCACCGGCUGCACAACCGCUCAAAAGUCCUGGCUAGUGGCUAGUGAGGAAGCACAUAUUCCACAUACAAAUAUACUAGUAAGGUACACGUGCAUUGUAUCCAUAAGUUUUUGUAACCAAAUUACAAAUGAAUACCACAUUAUAGUAUGUAAAUAUGUAAGUUUUGAGUUAUAUAGGUGUGAUGUGGAUGUUCAUUUAAUUCUUGUAGUAGUUCAUCCCAAUCAAAAUCAAAUUAAUGCUACAAAAUAUCAAACACCAUAGUAUAAUACGAGCACUAGCCAUCAAGGUUCUUGCUAGCCAUAGGAAUUAAACCAAGUUAGUCGUCCGAUCCAGUAGGAAGGAAUCAUGCGUUGAGCUGUCUCUUUCCUCCACUAUGAUUACGUGCUUCUAGUAAAUGAUCCUGUAGCAUGUCCUCUCCGGCCGCUAACCUCUGUCCUCCACUAAUUACGCGUUGAGUUAAUUAAUUGAUCCUUUCCCCGUCAAGGAAGCAUGAUGCAUGACACUGAAUAUUUGCUUCCAGUUUCGUUUCGAAUAUUUGCUUCCGAACCUAUACUAGUAAAAAAAUAUUGUGGGCCAGAAGCAUAUUGUUCCAUCGUCUAGAGAAUUCAUUCAACCUAACAGUGAUUUAGUUCAACUCAAAAAAAAA